RNAcentral lists this transfer RNA (73 nucleotides) under Ictidomys tridecemlineatus (thirteen-lined ground squirrel). Its description in RNAcentral is "Spermophilus tridecemlineatus (thirteen-lined ground squirrel) tRNA". It matches the Rfam family "tRNA". From Rfam's summary of the family: Transfer RNA (tRNA) molecules are approximately 80 nucleotides in length. Lineage: Eukaryota; Metazoa; Chordata; Mammalia; Rodentia; Sciuridae. The record is from Rfam by way of RNAcentral.
UGGGAUGUAGCUUAGUGGAAGAGCACUGUGGGACCAAGGGUUUAGUUCCUGGGUUCAAUUCCCAGUACCACAA